GCAUAUCAAUAAGCGGAGGAAAAGAAACCAACAGGGAUUGCCCCAGUAGCGGCGAGUGAAGCGGCAAGAGCUCAGAUUUGAAAUCGUGUUUCGGCACGAGUUGUUGAGUGUAGGCGGGAGUCUCUGUGGAGCGCGGUGUCCAAGUCCCUUGGAACAGGGUGCCUGAGAGGGUGAGAGCCCCGUAGGGUGCUGCGCGAAGCUUUUGAGGCCCUGCUGACGAGUCGAGUUGUUUGGGAAUGCAGCUCCAAGCGGGUGGUAAAUUCCAUCUAAGGCUAAAUAUUGGCGAGAGACCGAUAGCGAACAAGUACCGUGAAGGAAAGAUGAAAAGCACUUUGAAAAGAGAGUGAAACAGCACGUGAAAUUGUUGAAAGGGAAGGGUAUUGGGCUCGACAUGGGGGGUGCGCACCGCUGUCUCUUGUAGGCGGCGCUCUGGGCGCCCUCUGGGCCAGCAUCGGUUCCUGCUGCGGGAGAAGGGGCUCCGGAAAGUGGCUCUUCGGAGUGUUAUAGCCGGGGCCAGAUGCCGCGUGUGGGGACCGAGGACUGCGGCUUCUGUCUCGGAUGCUGGCAUAACGGCGCAAUACCGCCCGUCUU
Molecule: ribosomal RNA, 591 nt
Filed under: Pichia manshurica
Lineage: Eukaryota; Fungi; Ascomycota; Pichiomycetes; Pichiales; Pichiaceae
Description: eukaryotic LSU rRNA
Rfam family: Eukaryotic large subunit ribosomal RNA
Source: RNAcentral